Molecule: ribosomal RNA, 406 nt
Filed under: uncultured bacterium
Lineage: Bacteria
Description: partial 16S ribosomal RNA
Rfam family: Bacterial small subunit ribosomal RNA
Source: RNAcentral
CCUACGGGAGGCAGCAGUGGGGAAUUUUGGACAAUGGGCGAAAGCCUGAUCCAGCGACGCCGCGUGGAGGACGAAGGUCUUCGGAUUGUAAACUCCUUUUGCAGGGGACGAAAAAAAUGACGGUACUCUGCGAAUAAGCCACGGCUAACUACGUGCCAGCAGCCGCGGUAAUACGUAGGUGGCGAGCGUUACUCGGAAUCACUAGGCGUAGAGCGCGUGUAGGCGGUAUUUUAAGUCUGUUGUGAAAUCUUAUGGCUCAACCAUAAAAUGUCGACAGAUACUGAAGUACUAGAGUGAGGCAGGGGAAACUGAAAUUCCAGGUGUAGCGGUGGAAUGCGUAGAUAUCUGGAAGAACACCGAUGGCGAAAGCGGUCUCCGGGCCCAAUACUGACGCUGAGAUGCGAAA